This 211-nucleotide long non-coding RNA is filed under the name Nicotiana benthamiana. RNAcentral's name for it is "long non-coding RNA (NBEN_LNC000363)". The record is from RNAcentral. Lineage: Eukaryota; Viridiplantae; Streptophyta; Magnoliopsida; Solanales; Solanaceae.
CAGCCUGUGGCCAGGUUUGACCUUGUACACCAUAACCUGCAGGCCAUUGAUUUUGCGCUCCAGGAAAUGCACCAGCCACUGAGGGGUUAGAUGCUGCAACAGCAGAGUUUGCCAGCUUUGUCUUCUCAGAAACUAAAUAAUCGUCAGCCUGACGUUUCUUUGAAUCUGAAGAGGUUCUAUGGCGUAAGAAGAGCUUAGCAUGCCGAUCAUC